GUAGGGUGCAAGCGUUAAUCGGAAUGACUGGGCGUAAAGGGUGCGCAGGCGGCCUGUUAAGACAGAGGUGAAAUCCCCGGGCUUAACCUGGGAAUGGCCUAUGUGACUGGCAUAGCUAGAGGCAGGCAGAGGGAGGCGGAAUUCCACGUGUAGCAGUGAAAUGCGUAGAUAUGUGGAGGAACACCGAUGGGCGAAGGCAGCCCCCUGGUCAAAAACUGACGCUCAUGCACGAAAGCGUGGGGAGCAAACAGGAUUAGAUACCCUGGUAGUCCACGCCCUAAACGAUGUCUACUAGUUGUCGGGUCUUAAUUGACUUGGUAACGCAGCUAACGCGUGAAGUAGACCGCCUGGGAGUACGGUCGCAAGAUUA
This 370-nucleotide ribosomal RNA is filed under the name uncultured bacterium. Its description in RNAcentral is "bacterial SSU rRNA". It matches the Rfam family "Bacterial small subunit ribosomal RNA", at positions 527 to 896 of the family's 1533-position model. The record is from RNAcentral.